UGGAUAGGGGUUCUGAGAGGAAGGUCCCCCACAUUGGAACUGAGACACGGUCCAAACUCCUACGGGAGGCAGCAGUGAGGAAUAUUGGUCAAUGGACGAGAGUCUGAACCAGCCAAGUAGCGUGAAGGAUGACUGCCCUAUGGGUUGUAAACUUCUUUUAUAUGGGAAUAAAACGUUCCACGUGUGGAAUUUUGUAUGUACCAUAUGAAUAAGGAUCGGCUAACUCCGUGCCAGCAGCCGCGGUAAUACGGAGGAUCCGAGCGUUAUCCGGAUUUAUUGGGUUUAAAGGGAGCGUAGGUGGAUUGUUAAGUCAGUUGUGAAAGUUUGCGGCUCAACCGUAAAAUUGCAGUUGAAACUGGCAGUCUUGAGUACAGUAGAGGUGGGCGGAAUUCGUGGUGUAGCGGUGAAAUGCUUAGAUAUCACGAAGAACU
RNAcentral lists this ribosomal RNA (431 nucleotides) under uncultured bacterium. RNAcentral describes it as "bacterial SSU rRNA". It matches the Rfam family "Bacterial small subunit ribosomal RNA", at positions 280 to 708 of the family's 1533-position model. The record is from RNAcentral.